CCUACGGGUGGCAGCAGUGGGGAAUAUUGGACAAUGGGCGAAAGCCUGAUCCAGCCAUGCCGCGUGUGUGAAGAAGGCCUUCGGGUUGUAAAGCACUUUCAGUGGGGAAGAAAGCCUUGGGGCUAAUACCCUCGAGGAAGGACAUCACCCACAGAAGAAGCACCGGCUAACUCCGUGCCAGCAGCCGCGGUAAUACGGAGGGUGCGCGCGUUAAUCGGAAUUACUGGGCGUAAAGCGCGCGUAGGCGGUCUGAUAAGCCGGUUGUGAAAGCCCCGGGCUCAACCUGGGAACGGCAUCCGGAACUGUCAGGCUAGAGUGCAGGAGAGGAAGGUAGAAUUCCCGGUGUAGCGGUGAAAUGCGUAGAGAUCGGGAGGAAUACCAGUGGCGAAGGCGGCCUUCUGGACUGACACUGACGCUGAGGUGCGAAAGCGUGGGUAGCAAACAGGAUUAGAUACCCUGGUAGUC
This 465-nucleotide ribosomal RNA is filed under the name Vreelandella stevensii. RNAcentral's name for it is "partial 16S ribosomal RNA". It matches the Rfam family "Bacterial small subunit ribosomal RNA", at positions 338 to 795 of the family's 1533-position model. Lineage: Bacteria; Pseudomonadati; Pseudomonadota; Gammaproteobacteria; Oceanospirillales; Halomonadaceae. The record is from RNAcentral.